This 76-nucleotide transfer RNA is filed under the name Bacteriovorax sp. Seq25_V. RNAcentral describes it as "tRNA-Phe". It matches the Rfam family "tRNA". Rfam says of the family: Transfer RNA (tRNA) molecules are approximately 80 nucleotides in length. Their secondary structure includes four short double-helical elements and three loops (D, anti-codon, and T loops). Further hydrogen bonds mediate the characteristic L-shaped molecular structure. tRNAs have two regions of fundamental functional importance: the anti-codon, which is responsible for specific mRNA codon recognition, and the 3' end, to which the tRNAs corresponding amino acid is attached (by aminoacyl-tRNA synthetases). tRNAs cope with the degeneracy of the genetic code in two manners: having more than one tRNA (with a specific anti-codon) for a particular amino acid; and 'wobble' base-pairing, i.e. permitting non-standard base-pairing at the 3rd anti-codon position. Lineage: Bacteria; Pseudomonadati; Bdellovibrionota; Bacteriovoracia; Bacteriovoracales; Bacteriovoracaceae. The record is from RNAcentral.
GCCCUGAUAGCUCAGUUGGUAGAGCAAAGGACUGAAAAUCCUUGUGUCCCUGGUUCGAGUCCGGGUCGGGGCACCA